RNAcentral lists this ribosomal RNA (734 nucleotides) under uncultured Enterobacteriaceae bacterium. Its description in RNAcentral is "bacterial SSU rRNA". It matches the Rfam family "Bacterial small subunit ribosomal RNA", at positions 767 to 1502 of the family's 1533-position model. Lineage: Bacteria; Pseudomonadati; Pseudomonadota; Gammaproteobacteria; Enterobacterales; Enterobacteriaceae. The record is from RNAcentral.
AGCAAACAGGAUUAGAUACCUGGUAGUCCACGCUGUAAACGAUGUCGAUUUGGAGUUUGUUGCCUAGAGUGAUGGGCUCCGAAGCUAACGCGAUAAAUCGACCGCCUGGAGAGUACGGCCGCGAGGUUAAAACUCAAAUGAAUUGACGGGGGCCCGCACAAGCGGUGGAGUAUGUGGUUUAAUUCGAUGCAACGCGAAGAACCUUACCUGGUCUUGACAUCCAUAGAAUUCUGCAGAGAUGUGGGAGUGCCUUCGGGAACUAUGAGACAGGUGCUGCAUGGCUGUCGUCAGCUCGUGUUGUGAAAUGUUGGGUUAAGUCCCGCAACGAGCGCAACCCUUAUUCUUUGUUGCCAGCGAUUUGGUCGGGAACUCAAAGGAGACUGCCGUUGAUAAAGCGGAGGAAGGUGGGGACGACGUCAAGUCAUCAUGGCCCUUACGACCAGGGCUACACACGUGCUACAAUGGCGUAUACAAAGGGAAGCGAAGGUGCGAGCUGGAGCGGAUCUCAUAAAGUACGUCUAAGUUCGGAUUGGAGUCUGCAACUCGACUACAUGAAGUCGGAAUCGCUAGUAAUCGUAGAUCAGAAUGCUACGGUGAAUACGUUCCCGGGCCUUGUACACACCGCCCGUCACACCAUGGGAGUGGGUUGCACCAGAAGUAGAUAGCUUAACCGCGAGGGGGGCGUUUACCACGGUGUGAUUCAUGACUGGGGUGAAGUCGUAACAAGGUAACCA